This 325-nucleotide ribosomal RNA is filed under the name uncultured bacterium. RNAcentral's name for it is "bacterial SSU rRNA". It matches the Rfam family "Bacterial small subunit ribosomal RNA", at positions 30 to 355 of the family's 1533-position model. The record is from RNAcentral.
AUUGAACGCUGGCGGCAUGCCUUACACAUGCAAGUCGAACGGCAGCACGGGAGCAAUCCUGGUGGCGAGUGGCGAACGGGUGAGUAAUACAUCGGAACGUGCCCAAUCGUGGGGGAUAACGCAGCGAAAGCUGUGCUAAUACCGCAUAAGAUCUACGGAUGAAAGCAGGGGAUCGCAAGACCUUGCGCGAAUGGAGCGGCCGAUGGCAGAUUAGGUAGUUGGUGAGGUAAAGGCUCACCAAGCCUUCGAUCUGUAGCUGGUCUGAGAGGACGACCAGCCACACUGGGACUGAGACACGGCCCAGACUCCUACGGGAGGCAGCAGU